AAUCACGUGACACGUAACCCCCUCCCCCAGCAUGCUUUGCGCGCCGGCCGUGGAUUUUCAACAGGAAGCGGAAGUGGGGAGAGCUACGAAGUUUUAAACGACUGCAGGUGUCCAGGGUCAGGAGAGGCUUUACCUGGUGCAGCUGCCAGCCUGGCCAGAGGGAGAAAGCAGCCAGGAUCACCCAGCUCUGGUGAUGGCCGGACACCGCCCCCCCCUCCUCCUCCCUUCCAGGCUGCUGAGGAGCACAGCUGAGCUGAGUCCUCCUGAUGAGCCACACCUGGAUAAAAGAGCUGUGCCUUCAGAGUCUGGGAGGCAGCAGUGCAGGAGUUCUGCUGUUCUCCAUUCGUUUUGUUUUAGUUCGUUCGUUCGUUCGUUCGUUCGUUCGUUCGUUCUGUAUGAGUUUAACUUUUAUAGUUUAAACUCUUGAGUGAUCCUGUGGGAUCUUGUGUUCGUUGGUUUUUAAGGUUAACUUUGUUUGUUGCAAUUUUAUUGACAUGGUUUUUAAAUACCUUUGUUUGGUAAAACUUAAGUUUUAACCAGGUGUUUAAGUCAGUAAAUUGUUUUAUAUCAACUUCGCGGUGCUUUUAGAACACCUUCUUGCGGUGAAGCUUUUAACAAAUUUUUAACCAGGUGUUUUUUAUAGUUGAUAAUUUGUCGUUUAAUAUUAACCUUUUUGAAAGUUUGAGUGUGUUGCAUUAUUUUUAUAAUGCCCGUCGUAUGCUUGCUUGUGUUUUAGAACCUUUGUAUAACAAUAAAACCCUUUUAAUAUCCAC
Non-coding RNA from Nothobranchius furzeri (turquoise killifish), 773 nucleotides. The record is from RefSeq and is a predicted model, not a curated record. Lineage: Eukaryota; Metazoa; Chordata; Actinopteri; Cyprinodontiformes; Nothobranchiidae.